UGGAGGAGGUUGGGUAUUGGUUUCUGCAUGGAAGUGACCAGCAUUGUCCCCCAAUGAGAGGCUGGGAAUCCAUGUGGUCCCAGGUAUAUACUGCUUCGGGCUCAUUGUGGUGUACCUGGCUGACGCUCACCUCCUUGGGUUUUUCCCAGGAUUCCAUGUGUCAGCAGAUAAAGGACCAGAGGAGAAUCCUCUUGGCAGGGGCCAGGAAGGCUGCGGAGCUCGAGAUACAGGAGGCCCUGGGCCAGCUUGAAGAGCCUGCCCUCCUCAUCAGCUGUGCAGGAGCCACAGGUAGACUCCCGGCUGCCCACCUGCUGGGCCCAGCUGCCCUGCACUUCCGGUUGGUGUCAAGUCCCCAGAAAUUGUGACUUAAGGGGCACUGUGGCUCACAGUUUCAGAAAGUUCCAGUCCUCAGUGACGAGGAAGGCAUGGAAGAACAGCUCCGUGUACUGAGCGGAGAGAGCGGAAAGCAAGACAGGAAAUAGGCAGGGAGAACAGACUCCCAAGAUCUAACCCCCGGGGACCUGUUUCCUUAAUACGCUCUGCCUCCAACAUGGCCAUAGCCUCCCAGAUUUUGUGAGUUCCGGGACAGGCAGAACUGUAUCGUGAGACCGUGUCUUAAUAACGAUAAUAAUAAUAAUAAUAAUAAUAAUAAUAAUAAUAAUAAUGACAUGAUGACCUUGUAAGAGACACUUAAGAGUCAAUCCUUGCAGUGUGCUAUGGACCCUGAGAUAAUGUAAGGUGAGGGACAGGGCCAGGGACAUGGCCCAGAUGUUACAGUGCUUGUGUAGCGUGUUCAAAGCCCUCGAUUCGAAUCCUAGUACCACAUACACUGGCUAGAAUAGCACAGGUCUGUUAUCCCACCACUUCAGGGAGGGAGGCAGGAAGAUCAGAAGUUCAACGCCAUCUUUGGCCACGUAGUGAGUUCAAAGCCAACCUGUCAAAAAGAAAGAAGGAACCAAAAGGGAUCUACAGAUUCAAUGCAAUCCCCAUCC
RNAcentral lists this long non-coding RNA (992 nucleotides) under Rattus norvegicus (Norway rat). RNAcentral describes it as "long non-coding RNA NONRATT007396". The record is from RNAcentral. Lineage: Eukaryota; Metazoa; Chordata; Mammalia; Rodentia; Muridae.